GCGAUAACGAACGAGACUUUACCCUGCUAAAUAGUUACCACGUGCUUAAAUGCGUGGAUAUAACUUCUUAGAGGGAUUCGCUACUCUAUAGUGGCACGAAAUGGAGCA
This 108-nucleotide ribosomal RNA is filed under the name Halimeda discoidea. RNAcentral's name for it is "partial small subunit ribosomal RNA". The record is from RNAcentral. Lineage: Eukaryota; Viridiplantae; Chlorophyta; Ulvophyceae; Bryopsidales; Halimedaceae.